This is a long non-coding RNA of Mustela erminea (ermine), 1116 nucleotides long. RefSeq lists it as uncharacterized. The record is from RefSeq and is a predicted model, not a curated record. The transcript is spliced from 2 exons. NCBI's taxonomy places the organism in Eukaryota, Metazoa, Chordata, Mammalia, Carnivora, Mustelidae.
GAGGCUUAACCCACUGAGCCACCCAGGUGCCCCUUUUAAAGACUUUUUAAAAGGAAAAGUGGUGUCUUCUACAGAUAUGUGCCCCCGUAUGGGAGGGUGAAAAGUCCAAGAAACUCUAUUGGAAGAGAAAAAAGAAGAUAAGGGGGUGUGGGGAUGGGUACCCAAGAUAUUCUAUUCAGAGAGAAAGCACAAAUAGGUAUGGAACAAAAAACAGCAUGCAAGCAUAUAGGCAGUUGAUAUUACCAGAACAAAAAGAAUGAUGUAGGGACAUAAAAUGGGUCAGGUCUUAAGGACCUCAUACGCCAUACUAAGGAGUCUGGACUUGACUCCACAGGUCAAAGAUUCUUAACCCAUACCCUAUGGUUGAGCUUCGGAGGACACCAAAAGCAAAAGUGCCAUAAUCAUGUUAGUUCCAAAUAGAGGUCUCUGAUAGCAAUGUGGCAGAUAAAUCUGAUGAGGUCAAGAUUGAAUCAAGACCUCUAAGUCUUCUGCAAAAUUAUAAGCAAGAAAUGAUAAGGAAUGAACUGAUUAAGUGGAUGUUUAAAUGGUAAAAAUUAAAAAGAUAAUUACUUGGGCAGGAGUAGGAUAUAGAAGUCCCACUAUUUCUGACUUGAUGAUAGCAUCAUUAACUAAAGUAGGAGGGAAAAAAUAGGUCCUGGAGACAAGAAGGAAUGUGGUUAGUCGUGGACAUACCAAGUUAGAGAGGCCUACAGGAUAUUCAAGUAGAUAUGUCAAGCAACUGGAUAUAGCUGAAGCCCAAAGGCCAAUCUGGAAGAUACAGAUUUGGAAGUCAGCAGCAGGCAUUAAUAGCUGACAUCUACUGAGUGCUUAUUAUAUGCCAAAGAAAUACUGAAUUUGAAUUAUCUCAUUUGAUCUUUAACCUAAUCUCUUAAAUUAGGAACUGUUAUUUUUUAAUCCCCAUUAGACAGAGGUAAACUGAGGAGUUAAGUAAUUAGCCUUCUGCAAUAUGGCGAGAAUGGUAGAGUUGGGAUCCCAACACUAAGCACUUAACUAUUUUCAUGUUAAAACCAUUGAGUACCUGGAAUAAUGUAGGAAGAACAUACAGGAAAAAAAAAAAAAAACAAAAAACAAAACAGAACGAAGGCAAUGGUCUAA